CCCACCAGGAUAUCUGCCAGGGCCAGGUUGAGCACGAAGCACCAGCUCUGACUGCCCUUCCUGCGCAUCAGCUGAAAGAGAGCAGCCACCACCAGUAGGUUGGUGGAGAUGAUGAGGAGAGAAGCCACACUCAGGACCCAUCCCAUCAUUUCUGGUGUCAUGAAAGUGUAUACAACAGGGGUUAGUAUGAGUCUCACACCUGGCAUCAUGGCAGUGAGGUUGGCACCCGACUCUCCCAUCCAGCCUGUCUUAUUGUAAGCUGCCAUUGAGUCCUUUACAAGAUCUAAGUAUUGUAUAUCUGAGAGAUUCCCCCCCAAAACAAAUAAAUUAUAUCCACCAACAUCCACUCCUUCUGUGGUAUAUUGGUAUCCAAAUACCAAUUUGUUCCUCUUUGAACUAUACUUAAUGUCUUUCUCUGUCAAACUCCUUUUAUAACAGAAAGAAAUUCCACAACGAUAACCUGAGCUAUUAAGUAAAAAGCUCUUUAGGAAAAAAUGAAGAAUGUUCAAUGGGUACUCAUCCACUCCCGAUGUGCCUUUGCUCCUCAGAGGGCAAAGUAUCUCCCCUCCUCUCUCGUCUGUAGCUGUGGUUCCUCUGCAUCCGACCCUUGUCCAGCUUGCUCUCUGGUUAUCAUCCCAGUCCCCUCAGAGAGUCCCUGGUGCAGACAUCCGGGAUGACUGGGCCAUUUUCCACAAGGGUUCACCACGACCACUGAAUCUGGGUUAAUGACAGCAGUCUGCAGUACAAACAUCAACAUUACACUACACUAAGAUAGAUCUGCUUUUGAUACCAUUUGUAUCUUUAUCAUAAAGUCAUUAGUGAUUUUAUUUUUGCCCAUCCAUUGAUGUCAAUAAGUAGAGCAGUAAGGAAAGAGAGGAAGAGUUUUCUGUGGCAUGUCUCUUGGGAAGACCCAUCUGCUUUGGGAAGACCCAUCUGGCAGUUGUCUGUAGACUAAUAUGUGGGUCCUUUAAAAAACACACAGAAUAAAAAAAAAAAAACAAAUCAAGGCACAAAAGAAGAAAAAAAACAUCUACUCCCACUUACAGUACUAUAAUCAAUAAAGACUAUCUGCUGUCUUGGCUCCUCUAGUGUCUAAAAUGAGUUUCAGCAAAAAGGAGGUAUAGAAGGAAUUUUCAUCUUGAGAAGCCUCUUCAUCUUGACACACAACUCACAGUGCUGUACAGAAUAUGCUGUGACUAACCACUGUAUCUGUGUCUCAUCAGUGGCUCAUCAUGGCUAAGUGUUUUAUGUAUGUAUUUAUACAGCUCUAAACAAACUGAGAGGCAAAAUACACAAUAGGGAGAAAGAAAGAGAGAGAAAGUGUAUAUUUGCCAGACAGGAUGACGCGAAUCUCCCUACAUGUACAGUAUACUGUAUGUUAUCAGUCAACUACUUCUGUUUUACGUAUGGGAAGCAAUGCUUUGGGAGACAAAUCUACCCUGCAUAAAUUACUACCCAACUUCCUCAUAAGUGUAUGCAUUUACUCUCUCUCUCUCUCUCUCUGUGUGACUAUUUCUGAACUUCCUGCUGCUCGUUUUAACCCUCAGCAACAACCAUGUCAGUCCAAACAAUAUCACCAGGGUCUCAUCAAAUACAGAUUUUGACAUUAUCGAUCAUAGUCUGCUGCUGGAAAAAACAUAUGUGUGCCUGUAGAACCUGCCUUGUUAAGAAGGCAGUGCAUCACUUUAUUAUGGACAAACUUCUCCCCAUUUUAGCUACUACUGCAUCAAUAUGUUUUGACCAUGACAGUUUUACCUAUAUUUAACUAGGCAAGUCAGUUAAGAACAAAUUCUUACUUUCAAUGACGGCCUAGGAACAGUGGGUUAACUGCCUUGUUCAGGGGCAGAACGACAGAUUUGUACCUUGUCAGCUUGGGGAUUUGAACUUGCAACCUUUACCGUUACUAGUUCACCGCUCUAACCACUAGGCUAUGCUGCCGCCCCAAUCUAGGGUUACUCCAAAAAAAGACUAAAGAAAAUUGCAAUUGGCUCAGAACAGGGCAGCAAGCCUGGCCCUUGGAUGUACAAAGAGAGCUAAUAUUAAUAAUAUGCAUGUUAAUCUGUCCUGGCUCAAAGUGGAGGAGAGAUUGACUUCAUCACUACUUGUAUUUAUGAGAGGUAUUGACAUGUUGAAUGCACCGAGCUGUCUGUCUAAACUACUGGCACACAGCUGGGACACCCAUACAUACCCCACAAGACAUGCCACAAGAGGUCUCUUCACAGUCCCCAAGUACAGAACAGACUACGGGAGGCACACAGUACUACAUAGAGCCAUGACAACAUGGAACUCUAUUCCACAUCAAGUAACUGAUGCAAGCAGUACAAUUUGAUUUAAAAAAACAGAUUAAAAAAACACCUUAUGGAACAGAGGGGACUGUGAAGCAACACAAACAUAGGCACAGACACCCACACACACAAUAACAUACGCACUAUGCACACACAUACACAUGGAUUUAGUACUGUCGACAUGUGGUAGUGGUGGAGUAUGGACCUGAGGGCUCACAGUGUGUUGUGAAAUCUAUGAAUGUAUUGUAAUGUUUUUAAAAUUGUACAAACUGCCUUAAUUUUGCUGGACCCCAGGAAGAGUAGGUGCUUCCUCGGCAGCAGCUAAGGGGGAUCCAUAAUAAAUACAAAAAUACAAAUACACAGUGAUCUUUUCAUGUAGAGUAAAGAUCCCCUUUUGAUCACAAAGGGGGAAAAACACAAUAAUCUCUGGCUCCCACAGACAUACAAUGUGGGAAUGUUAUUCAUCCCUACUAGACCUUUCAGUGCCAUUCAAAACUUAUGUUGGUCAGCAGUAAUUGUGCCCACUGCCCCUGUACCAGUAGUCAUUCUCACCCUAUUUACGCUUAGCACUGCCCACUCCUCACCUACGGGUUGCCUUGGCCAGAAACAUCUUGAAGGUGUUAUUAUUCUUUGAAUAGACUACCUCCUGUCUUGGGCUUGACCGCUGAAGCUGACCUGAGAUUCCUCUGUACUGAAGAUGACUUUAAAGAGACGACUGCUGUCCAUUUUGUUGUGUUGUGUCUACUGUGUCGCUUCGCUCUUCUGCUUGAACCCCAACCGCAACAACUGUGGCUCCAUCAGCGCUCGGAAUCUCAUGACAGUUGCCCAGCAGCUGUACCAACGAGUCAUGAGGCGCACCACUCUCUGAUCCUAUGGAGCCGGAGUUGAGUCCCUCAACACUAAUCAUCACCAGGACUGAGACACUCUCCUGCCUUACCCUGUCCAUACAAUGGAGAUGACCUGCAGAGCACCUGCCAUCGACAGAGCAAGAGGACGAAAAGCUCUCAUUGCAGUUCACCGUAAUAAAGCAGGAGAUAGUUUUUAAAAAUGUCAGUGUUUUAUUGAUGCAAAUAGAUUUUGUUGAGAUCCUAGUGGGCCUUAACUGCAUAAGCGUUGUGUUAGUGCCCCAAUUUCCCUGCAUUAUAAUGUAAGUGCUGGAAAAGCCGUUUGCAGGAUAAUUCACAGAUGUCAUUCAUUUCAUGCCCUCUUGUGGAAAACUGAUCAGUUAUUUCUGCAUGAUAAAAAAAUUAAUGCUUUCAAUGAGCUUCAAUGCUAUCCCUGGACAUGGAAAAUAUUCCCUGCUGGAAUUGAUGUGAUUGAGUUUAGUUAAAUCUACUACAUUAAUGCAUAUAGUGCAGUAUGUCUUCAUAGAAUAAUACGAAAAAAUGUUCCUUGUGCAAAUUAUGGGAAGAUAGGCUGUUUAAUAAAUUUGUACCACUUGAUUAGCUAAAUGUUAAAACAGUUGAGUCUCUUGUAAUUAAUGCUGUAUCAAAACUGAUAUAAUAAACUUUACAUUUGUUUUUCAA
This is a long non-coding RNA of Oncorhynchus nerka (sockeye salmon), 3811 nucleotides long. RefSeq lists it as uncharacterized. Lineage: Eukaryota; Metazoa; Chordata; Actinopteri; Salmoniformes; Salmonidae. The record is from RefSeq and is a predicted model, not a curated record. The transcript has 2 exons.